GUCGUAGUGUCAUUUCCGGGAAGAAGGUGGACCGAUACAAAAGCAACGUAACGGAACGUAAGCCGUAACGGCUGGUAACAUCGGGUCGAAGAUGACAGCGGUGGCUAUCCCCCCCGCAAUGUCCCACAAUAAUAAUGGAAUAAUACAAGUGGUGAACGAAAGUAAUUUAACUAAGAUAGAGAGCUUCCUCAACGACACGGCUUACAGAGAAGCCAUUGAAAACUCUUCUAAUUAUAAUAGUCGAUUAUGCCGGGAACGACGUCUUCGCAUGCCCUUCCUCGACUCGCAAACAGGUGUGGCACAGAAUCAUUCUGCACUUUUUAUGUCCUCGAGAGAAAGAUUACCAGGUUUGUUACAUGGUCAAAUAUACACCUAUCCAAGCAAAAGAUGGCGAAAGAAACGACGGCAAUACUUGAUGCACUAUUUGCAUCCAAAACGAGGACCAAGAGGUGAUACAGAAGAUGGAGUGGAAGGUGUAGAAGCUGUUACGCACAUAAAUGAUGAUAGCAAAGAUUCAGUAGUGCUUAAAGAUGAACACAGUAAAGACGCUUGGUAUUAUGACGAACAAGAUAUGUUAGAUAUGGAUGCUUACGAAGAACCUGAUCCUGAAAGUGAUUACGAUUAUGAAGAGAGCUAUAGUAGUAAAAGAAAACGCAGAAAAACUCGUGGAGGUGGUCACCAUCCUGCUCGUAGUCAUCCACCUUCAACAGAUAGUCCAGGCGGUAAACGAACAAAGGGUGGGGGCCGCGGACGCAAAAAAGCCAACUACGACUCUGUUGACACUGAUAAACCAUUCGUUUGUGACCUAUGCAGCGCACGGUAUAAGACCAGACCUGGUCUGGUCUACCAUUACGGUCAUUCCCACUCUACUUCCUCCGGUGAUCCUGCUAAGGAACUAAGUCCCAGUCCUGCCGAAGUUGAACCUAGGAGCGUUGCAGACACCGCUGCUUCGAACCAGCCAGGUGGUACGCGUCGGGGUCGUCAGAACACUUCCUCGAGUACCUCGAGUCCCUCGCCGGCGGCUCCAACUGCCGUAUCCGCAACUGGAGCGACGACGCAACCAUCGCAACAGUCGCAGCAGCAGUUGCAGCCAGCAUCCGCGCAGACGCCCGUUGCUCCGGCGUCGCCCACCAUCUCCGCGACCAAGGAAGAUCAUCUGCCUGCCGUGUCCUCGCCCGGCGGCACCGCCGUCCCAUCGCUCUCUUCAGGGGAGACAGUGACGGGAGGGUCACCCACCCCCGGGGGAGGUGGUGGUGGUGGAGGAGGACCGAUCAUGGAGAAGAAGGCAGGCGGCAAGUCAUCCGCGGCGCAACCGUCCCCGUAUUGCGACUUCUGCCUGGGUGACGCGCGCGAGAACAAGAAGACGGGCGGAUCCGAGGAGCUGGUAUCGUGCAGCGACUGUGGCCGCUCAGGUAAGCCAGAGGAAAAGAUCAAGCGCAAGUAUACCAGGAGAGCGAAUCACAAUUAAAACUCGAUCGGGCACUCGACGACGACUACGAUGACGAGAUACGACAAUGACGACGAUGACGAUGAGGAUAAAUGAUGGUGAUGAUGAUAAUAUUACAUUAUAUAUUCUGAAUCGAGAGACGGUAAGAGUCGUUCCGUGUCUAUACGGACGGUACUAUUUUCUACAUCUCUUUGCGAGCCUAUCGCGCACUGCGUCCUGUGAAUAUAUAGCCAGAUACAACUCAAAAAAAAAAAGAAAAAAAAUCAGGAAAUCAGUAUAUACGUCGCUAUACCCUCGAGUAUGCUUCCGCGCGACUGAGAUGUGAGUAGCAGCUUCAUUUAUGAAACGCGGGAUAUGUGACUUUAGUGAUGAUUUAACGAUACGAGAAUGGUUUAAUGUCGGCAAUAUCUGAUACGCCGGAUAUCAGCAUAUAUAGCGUUAUUGGGUACAUAUAUAUACGUGUUCACGCUAUAAUUGUUUAUACUUCCAUGUUUCAGCUGUUAACAUCGUGAAAGAUAUUGAGUAACUUGUUAAUUUUACGACACAAGCAAGCGUAACGUGCUCUUCCUUACGCAAUGAGAGGAUCGCUGCUUCCUCCCCCUCCCUAUUCGUAUAUUCGUAUCUAUAUAAUUGUUAAACGCGCAAUAUCGAGAUGUUUAGAAUUAUCUGUUACAUUUGUAAUAAUUUGAGGAUUUUCUGCCUUUCUUUUCGUUGAUGCGUAUCUAUCACGUGUACGCGUGUAGCCGUUAAAAAAAAUAUCGCAGAAACGAAAUCUGUUAUCAGUUUUGUGCAGACCAUGUUUUCUAUAAAUCUUUAAGUUGUUAAGAUAAACAGAAAAAAAAGAGAGAGGAGGUAACUUUUUGAGUUGUAUAGGGUUACAAUUGUCGCGCGUGACGCAUUUUUUUUCGUCACUGCCGUCAAGGGUAAUAGAAACGUGCUGUUGUGCAAAACUCCCUUCGGGUGCAAUAAUUAAGGAGAGAGAGAGAGAGAGAGAACCAUUCAAUUAUCUGCACGGUGUUUAGAGAUCAAACGGUUACGAGCUUUACAUACACUAGUCAAGGCGAGGAACACAAAACAUCGUUUUGUCAAUGGUGCAACUUGUCGCAUCUGAGUAAUAGGAAUUUUCCACAAUUCCUUUACUAAGCGAAUUUGCUGUGAUUUAUAGUAUUUUCACUGAUUAGUUCUAAGGGAGAUAAAAUGAAAAUCGGAGGUUUAAAACGCGUUUAAAUAUUAACGGGAAAAGAGCACGGGAAGAGAUCUUAAAAAGUCUUCGUCACAGUGAGAGAAGUCAAAAAUUUCAUCGUGUGUACGUGUGUGUGAUUGGAUAGAUUAAAUAGAGAAAAUCGAUCGACGGAAUUGACGUUUUUGAUUUUGCAGAUUUAUUAAAAUUCCUGUUGCACAGUACCACUAGAGCACGUAUUGAGGAAGAGGUGUUUGUCUUCUGUUUGACAGUGUAUCCUGAUAUUUACGUUAUUGCGUGUUGGAAAUCAAAAAAAAAAGUAAAAAAAAAAAAUAUGAAAAGUAUACACGGCGUGAGAAACGCACCGGCAAGUUUAAGAAGAUUUUUAGAGAUACACGCGAGAUGCAAUAUAUAUUAUAUAUACUUUAUAUAUCCAGCACAAUCAUAAGAAUCGUUUUAACGAAGGUAACACAUAAUAUUUAUUGUAAGAUAAUAACAUGUUGAUCGCGAUCAUAUUUCGAUAUUUCUCUCUACAUGUUUUUCGAUUUGUCCUGUAAAUACUUUUGUAUCUUUGCGUUUGUUGAGUAAUAUCAUACGAGAUUUUUUAGAGAGAUGAGAUGUGAGUUAGGAGCGCAGCACAGAAAAGGAAUGAUAAUGAAGUAGAAGAGUGCAAUCUUAAGGAACUCCGUAUAUCUCUUUCGCGAUUUUGAGAGAAUUUCGAAUAAGAAAAAUUGACUGGAUGAGAUCGAAACGUUGAUAAUAAUGUUUUAUCUAUUAUGAUAAUUUUCAUAUAUUUGUUUGACUACAUUUUAUGUGUUCAAUACAUUUACUUUUAUAAUAAUCGCGUCAAGGGUAAUUCGUAUUAGUGUGGAAUACGUUCAUAAAAUGGGAGAGACGUUCAUUAUAUAUGCGUGAAAAAAUGUUUUGUUCAACAAAGUUCUGUAUUUUGAGUAACAGCUUAUUCUCCCUUAGACAAUUUCCACAACUUUUUAUCUAAGAUAUCUUCGUCUUUUAUUAUUAAGUUACGGUUCGCGUGAGACGUAUGCGAGAUGAUACUUUAAAGCGGAGAACUCUAACGUUUUUUUUUCUUUUUUUUUACGAGAAUUUUAAUUUUAUGUGUGAAAUAAAUAGAUAAUGUCCGAUGUAAAGAUAAAAAACGCGAUCGUGCUCGUUGAUUCCCUCUUUUAAUACGUCUCUCACAUUCCAUUGUAUAUCUGCCGUUUUUAAUUACUUUUAGUUGUGUGGGCAUUAGCUUUUCUGAUCUAAUAUAGUAUAAUCGUUUUCCCCUCUUGCUAUUAUUGUCAUUUAUAAUAACGAAAUAUAUUUAUUACACGCGUAUUUAACAAGCAAGAGAAAAAUAAUAUGAGAUGAAGCUAUAGUUACGGAGUAAAAGUUUUUUUUAACUAUAUAUAAUGUAUUUUAGUUAGGUACCUUUUUAAAACGCGAUGUAUGUCAAACGUGAUCGCGCCCUUGAUUAUAUCUUUUUGUAGAAAUCUGACAUAGAUUAGUUUUGUACAAGAGCUUUGAUACUCAGAUAUCAUUUGAUUAGGAAUAAUCACAGAAUAAUAUCCCUUAUAUGAAAUUAAUGUAAUACCUUAUGAGUUUUUCAGGCACAAGGAGAAGCGCGGUGUUAAAUCUGCUUUCGAUUAGACUCGAAUUAUUUUAUAUACUUUGCUAAUUAUAGAUAUAUCGCAAUUUUAGACACAUACUUGCAUACACGCACACGCACAUAUAUAUAUAUAUAUAUAUAUAUAUAUAUAUAUAUAUGCAAGUUUAUUCACUUAUAUAUGCUGCAUAUUAGUUUUAACUCUUUACUUUUCUUACACGAUAUAUACAUUUCUGUGUAUAUACGCUGUUUUUUAUAUUUUAAAUUUCUGAAAUAUUUGAAAUAAUCUAUACAAUUGGUGAGCGAACGUCUUCUUUAAUCAUAAAGCUUCAUAUUUUUUUUCUUUUUCAUAAAGUACUUUCUAAUAUACACAUAUUAUGUAACUCGAGUAUAUAGAAGGCUAUAUUGACAAAGGUAUGUUACAGCUUCUUUAUGCAUAUAACAUAUGAGAUAAAAACGUAGAAUAUUCUAUCAUUUAAUGGUAUAGCUAAAUACGGCAGAGAGAAUAGAGAUGGAAUACUAUAUAUACAUAUUUACGUUUUAGUUUCUUGUAUAUAAAUUGAUAUUACAUUGUCCUUAGAUUGUCGUAAGAAAAACUCACAUGGUAUAAAAACAAUGGAAGCAUGCAGAUAUAUAGUUCCUCCUUGUUAUAUAUAAAAUUGAAGACUUGUUAUUUAGGCAGUUUUUAAUUAAGCAAUACCCUUAAUGAGGCUUAUAAAUAUAGUAUUUAAGUCACACUAGUUAUAUAUAAAUAUAUAUAUGGCUCCAUAUAUAUAUGAUAUAUAUAAAAAGGAUGUGAUAUACGUUAUAUGAGUUGUGUGUAUGUUAAUGUGUGUAUGAUAAAGAGAGAGAGAGAGAGAGAAAGAAAGAAUGCACGAGAGAGAGAGAGAGAAAAGGAGCGAGGGAGAGUGUGCAUCUGCGACGUUUAUAUUGUGCUGCGCAAGAAAGAACGUGAACUAUUCCAAGAUAUCAUGAAAUAAAAUAUUCUGUGCGGAAA
RNA transcript from Cataglyphis hispanica, 5230 nucleotides. It is a transcript of the gene named zinc finger protein ubi-d4 A, with no coding region annotated. NCBI's taxonomy places the organism in Eukaryota, Metazoa, Arthropoda, Insecta, Hymenoptera, Formicidae. The transcript has 8 exons. The record is from RefSeq and is a predicted model, not a curated record.